Molecule: unclassified non-coding RNA, 168 nt
Filed under: Plectosphaerella sinensis
Lineage: Eukaryota; Fungi; Ascomycota; Sordariomycetes; Glomerellales; Plectosphaerellaceae
Description: partial internal transcribed spacer 2
Source: RNAcentral
CAACCCUCGAGCCCCCGUGGCCCGGCGUUGGGGAUCUGCCACGGCAGGCCCCUAAAACCAGUGGCGGACCCGAAGGCCCUCUCCUUUGCGCAGUAGCAUCAGCCUCGCAUCGGGAGUCCUCGGCGUCCUGCCUCUAAACCCCCCACAAGCCCGCCUCGGCGGCACCAA